Molecule: long non-coding RNA, 847 nt
Organism: Betta splendens (Siamese fighting fish)
Lineage: Eukaryota; Metazoa; Chordata; Actinopteri; Anabantiformes; Osphronemidae
Exons: 4
Source: RefSeq, a predicted model, not a curated record
ACUACUUACUACACAUAAAGACCCUCCCUACGGAACCAUUGGCAUUACUGUUGGGGUUGUUGCACUUAUCGGCUGCUGCUGCUGCUGCGUGCAGUGCUGCAAAGUCUUGGCAUCUUCUGUUAAGACCGUCUCUGAACCAGCUGUGGCUCCUCCGGAGUAUAGCUAUGAGCCUGCUGCACCAUGGCAGCCCAGUCAGCCUUGGCUGCCACCGUACCCAGUGCCUGCUUAUACUCACAGCAACCCGCUGGUACAGAACCCACCGGCCGUGAACGCUGCUAAUGCUGAGGUUCCAGCUCCAACUGUCCUCAGCCUCAGUGACGACGAGCCGCGGUUCGAGCUGAAGGGGAUGCGCUUCCCCUUGUCGCUUCCUCUCAGUUCAGACUCAACUUACCAACAUGUUUAUACCUCAGACAAACUCAACUUCAAAUGGAAGCCUUCAUUCACAAGCAAUAUAUAAAUAAGAAAUGUGCCUUACUCAUUUUAGAUGCUAAACAACCUAGGAGCCUAUCACUGUGGCAAGCAGGGCUUAUACACAACGUUUACAGGAUGUGAAUGUGAUUUACAGUCACAGUUUGCCCACAGUGUUCAAUGAAAACCACCAUCUGCCUUUUCCCCCUGCCGCUUUCAACUGGAAGCGGCAUCACCUCUGAACCGAGCGGUUUGAAUGUGUCAGUCAGCAGUAACCACACACUUGAAACAAUUUUAAGGCUUUAAAAUUUCUUCAGUUCAAUAGACUUGUUCAAGUUGUAUACUGUAUUUUGAAUGAAUGUCUGUUACAUACAUCUUUGGUUAUAUACAUUUAAAAUUGUGUAUUGUAUUUUUUUAAGCCAUACAAACUGUAUUUGUA